AGAGUUUGAUCAUGGCUCAGAACGAACGCUGGCGGCGUGCUUAACACAUGCAAGUCGAGUGCGCGGUGCGGGUAGCAAUACUCGUACUGGCGCACGGCGCACGGGUGCGUAACACGUGGGCAAUCUGCCCUCCGAUGGGGAAUAACUCCGGGAAACCGAAGCUAAUUCCGCAUAACAUUCCUUGGACUCCGGUUCGGGGAUUCAAAGCAGCAAUGCGUCGGAGGAGGAGCCCGCGCCCGAUUAGCUAGUUGGUGAGGUAAUGGCUCACCAAGGCAAUGAUCGGUAGCUGGUCUGAGAGGAUGGCCAGCCACACUGGAACUGAGACACGGUCCAGACUCCUACGGGAGGCAGCAGUGGGGAAUCUUGCGCAAUGGGCGAAAGCCUGACGCAGCGACGCCGCGUGGGGGAUGAAGCUUCUCGGAGUGUAAACCCCUUUCGACUGGGACGAAUGCCUCGCAAGAGGAGUGACGGUACCAGUAGAAGAAGCCCCGGCUAACUACGUGCCAGCAGCCGCGGUAAGACGUAGGGGGCCAGCGUUGUUCGGAAUUACUGGGUGUAAAGGGUUCGUAGGCGGUGUGGCAAGUCGGGAGUGAAAUCUAUGGGCUUAACUCAUAGUCUGCUUCCGAAACUGCUGUGCUGGAGUGUGGGAGAGGCGCGUGGAAUUGCAGGUGUAGCGGUGAAAUGCGUAGAUAUCUGCAGGAACACCCGUGGCGAAAGCGGCGCGCUGGACCACUACUGACGCUGAGGAACGAAAGCUAGGGGAGCAAACAGGAUUAGAUACCCUAGUAGUCC
Molecule: ribosomal RNA, 792 nt
Filed under: uncultured bacterium
Lineage: Bacteria
Description: bacterial SSU rRNA
Rfam family: Bacterial small subunit ribosomal RNA
Source: RNAcentral